Molecule: ribosomal RNA, 253 nt
Filed under: uncultured bacterium
Lineage: Bacteria
Description: partial 16S ribosomal RNA
Rfam family: Bacterial small subunit ribosomal RNA
Source: RNAcentral
UACGUAGGGGGCAAGCGUUGUCCGGAUUUAUUGGGCGUAAAGAGCGUGUAGGCGGCCAAACAGGUCAGCUGUGAAAACUCGAGGCUCAACCUCGAGACGUCGGUUGAAACCGUUUGGCUAGAGUCCGGAAGAGGAGAGUGGAAUUCCCGGUGUAGCGGUGAAAUGCGCAGAUAUCGGGAAGAACACCCGUGGCGAAGGCGGCUCUCUGGGACAGUACUGACGCUGAGACGCGAAAGCGUGGGGAGCGAACAGG